CACGUAGUUAGCCGUGGCUUAUUCAAGGGGUACCGUCUUCUGCUCUUCCCCCUUAAAGAAGUUUACAACCCGAAAGCCUUCUUCCUUCACGCGGCGUUGCUGGGUCAGACUUGCGUCCAUUGCCCAAUAUUCCCCACCUGCUGCCUCCCGUAGGAGUCUGGGCCGUAUCUCAGUCCCAAUGUGGCCGGUCAACCUCUCAGUCCGGCUACUGAUCGUCGCCUUGGUGGGCCGUUACCUCACCAACUAGCUAAUCAGACGCGAGGCCAUCUUUCAGCGAUAAAUCUUUGGUAUCAGUACCAUGCGAUUCCGAUACAUCAUGCGGUAUUAGCAGUCGUUUCCAACUGUUGUCCCCCUCUGAAAGGCAGGUUCCUCACGCGUUACUCACCAGUCCGCCACUAAGCAUUCCCUUCCGUUGUCCGAAAACUCCUUCAGGGGUGCUCCGUUCGACUUGCAUGUGUUAAGCACGCCGCCAGCGUUCGUCCUGAGCCAGGAUCAAACUCU
This 501-nucleotide ribosomal RNA is filed under the name uncultured Oscillibacter sp. Its description in RNAcentral is "partial 16S ribosomal RNA". The record is from RNAcentral. Lineage: Bacteria; Bacillati; Bacillota; Clostridia; Eubacteriales; Oscillospiraceae.